This 253-nucleotide ribosomal RNA is filed under the name uncultured bacterium. RNAcentral's name for it is "partial 16S ribosomal RNA". It matches the Rfam family "Bacterial small subunit ribosomal RNA", at positions 524 to 776 of the family's 1533-position model. The record is from RNAcentral.
UACGUAGGGGGCAAGCGUUGUCCGGAUUUAUUGGGCGUAAAGAGCGUGUAGGCGGCCAGGUAGGUCUGCUGUGAAAACUCGAGGCUCAACCUCGAGACGUCGGCGGAAACCAUCUGGCUAGAGUCCGGAAGAGGAGAGUGGAAUUCCUGGUGUAGCAGUGAAAUGCGUAGAGAUCAUAAGGAAGACCAGUGGCGAAGGCGGGUCUCUGGACAGUUCCUGACACUGAGGCACGAAGGCCAGGGGAGCAAACGGG